CCCUUAGAUGUCCGGGGCCGCACGCGCGCUACACUGAAGGAAUCAGCGUGGCUUUCUCCCUGACCCGAAAGGGUUGGGAAACCCGUUGAAUCUCCUUCGUGAUAGGGAUUGGGGCUUGAAAUUGUUCCCCAUGAACGAGGAAUUCCCAGUAAGCGCGAGUCAUAAGCUCGCGUUGAUUACGUCCCUGCCCUUUGUACACACCGCCCGUCGCUCCUACCGAUUGAGUGUUCCGGUGAAUAAUUCGGACUGCAGUAGCGUGGGGACUCCUCACCUGCAGCGGAAAGUUUGGUGAACCUUAACACUUAGAGGAAGGAGAAGUCGUAACA
RNAcentral lists this ribosomal RNA (326 nucleotides) under uncultured eukaryote. Its description in RNAcentral is "partial 18S ribosomal RNA". It matches the Rfam family "Eukaryotic small subunit ribosomal RNA", at positions 1470 to 1796 of the family's 1831-position model. The record is from RNAcentral.